UUAUUGGAAGGUAACAUUCUACAAAUUUAGCAUGUGCAGGUGCAGGUGCAGUUAGUGGAAAACAUAAAAAUCAAUCUAGUUCAGCUUCAAAAUAUUGAUGUGAACCAUAUGAUUCAGAAAUUAGAACACAUGACAUGUUCUCUAAUCAGUUUAUGCCUUUAAAUCAUUUGUCAAGCAACAACCAUACCAAUUGUCAUGCGGAGAAAAAUCUGAUUCAUAAUGCUUAUCAUUCUGUAAUGUUGGCAGUCCAGGAACACAACAUGAAACAUUACAGGUGCAUUACUCAUGCAGAAAUCAAGGCUAUCCCUCGCCGUGUUGUAAGCUUCACCUAAAGUUUACAUUGGUGCACGUCGGCCUUAUACAACGCAGCAGCUCUCACAGACAAACGCAGCAGCUAUCAUUAGUACACAAGUACACACAAACGAAAUGAUAUUAACAACUUCAUGCACACCCAAUCUGCAGUUCCUUAGGUUGACUUAUCAAAUCAAAUUAAUAAGUAGGCACACCCACCAACAAACUACUAAAGAUCCAACCUUUGAUGUAGAAGUCGUGGUAACUCAUCUUCUAGUUGUUCUAGGGAGUUGGAUGAACACCAUGAGCCGUAGAAACCUUGCGAGAACCCACCCAUCUCUUUUCCGACCUUCGUCGGCGCCGCAACCGCGUGCCUGAUGCUCCUUCCGCUGCGUUCCUCUAUUCCGUUGACACUGCCAGAACCACAAGAAUUUGAAUCAGAAAUUGACAGAAAUUUUCUCCAAAAUAGAGCGCUAACAAACCAUUAAAAAUCCUAUGAAUUCCAUUCCUACAAAUCAAUCGACCCGCAGAGCGCUAAGCCACCUUAAUUAGUAGCAUCUUCGUGGGUGAAGACGAUGAGGAGCGGCGGGUGGCGGCCGUGUUGUCUGUUCGGCGGCCACGUACCUGGGGUAGCAGAGGAGGAGCAGCGGGGCGGCGGCCUGCUCUCGCAUCCGUUGGAGGAGGAGCGGCGGGGGUAGCGGCCUGCUCUUAAGUUCGUUAGAAAGGGAUCGGCGGGGGCGUCGGCCUGCGCUCGCGUCCGUGGGAAGAGGAUCAGCGGCCUACAUGGGGAAGCAGAGGAGCAGCGGCAGGGGCGGCGUCCUGCAAUUGCCUCCGUCGGAGGAGCGGCGAGGACGGCGGCCUGCUCUCGCGUACGGUAGAAGUGGAUCGGCCGGGGCGGCGACCUGCUCUCAGAUGCGCCGGAUGAGGGUUGGUUGUCUUCGUGUUUUCCGCGGCCCUCGCGCCCCUCAUCAGGAAGCCAG
This 1271-nucleotide long non-coding RNA is filed under the name Triticum aestivum (bread wheat). Its description in RNAcentral is "long non-coding RNA (TAES_LNC023956)". The record is from RNAcentral. Lineage: Eukaryota; Viridiplantae; Streptophyta; Magnoliopsida; Poales; Poaceae.